Molecule: long non-coding RNA, 4827 nt
Filed under: Sus scrofa (pig)
Lineage: Eukaryota; Metazoa; Chordata; Mammalia; Artiodactyla; Suidae
Description: lncRNA (ENSSSCG00065066253.1)
Source: RNAcentral
UGGUCAAUCUUUUUUGAGGCAGUGUGGCUUUUCUGGAGUGUUGAUGGGGCUAACAGUGUUUCUUUGAAGCAAAGGAGGACUUCCUGAGGGCAGACAGGACUGGGAGGUCCACACCACGAUGGUAGCAGAUUUCACUUAGUCAUGCAGAACUUGCUCUGGUGUUUUUAGACUGUGGGGUUCUUGCAGGGUGUUGGCAGUGUUGGGCAGCUGUUCCUCAGGUGUGCAGCACCCCCUGGGGGCUGGAGCAGCUAUCUGGGUCACUGAGAACCUAAGAGGCUCUUCCCUAGGGCAGUCCAACUCAGAAGGACGGCCUGAGAAUGUAGGCAGAUCUUUUCACAGUCUGGCCAAGCUUGUUGCAGCUUUUCUGGGCUGCAGGGGCUCCUCCAGGGAGCUGGUGGUGCUGAGCAGCUAUUCCGCGGGAGCAGGGCACCCCCUGAGGGCUUGGGUGCCUAGCAGGGCUGCUGGAAACCCAAGAGGCUCCUCCCCAGGGCAGCCCGACUCAGAAAGACCGUCUGAGAUCUUUUCCCGGCUCAGCCAAGCUUGUUGCAGCUUUUCUGGGCUGCAGGGGGUCCUGCCUGGAGCUGGCCGUCCUAUGCAGCCGGACCACUAGGUCUCAGCACCCCCUGAGGGCUUGGGCAGGUAGCAGGGCCGCUGAAAACCCAAGAGGCUCCUCCCCAGGGCAGCCCGACUCAGAAAAACCAUCCGAGAAUUAGGCAGAUCUAUUCACAGCCUGGCUAGGCUUGUUCUAGCUUUUCUGGGCUGCAGGCCUUUUCUCAGGGGCUGGUGGUGUUUGGUGCUGCUCUGCGGAAGUGUAGCCCCUCCAAAGGGCAAGCAGGCCUGUGCAGGGAGAGCCCCUGCGGUAGUAGGCUUCAGGCAAUUGUUGAGGCCAGCCCUCCUGGACGGCAGGCAUCCCCAGGUCCGGCGAGAGCGUAGGGGGUGGCGGGGGUGGGGGAAGGGGAUGCGCUGGGAAGCACAGCUUUCUGCUAGCUAGCGGGCAUGUAAGCUUGCUGUGGCGUGGGGAGUAUUCUAUGGGGCCCCACCCCUUCUUCUCUCCCCUCCCCAGCACGGGCACAGACCAGGCUCUUCUCCCAGGUUCCCUCUGAUGCGGCUUUCCACUCCCCCGCCCCUAGAGUAUUGCUCCCUUCCUCUGCGACAGCUUUGUUUUCUAGUCUCCCAGGCAGUCUCUGCCCUGUCAAACUUGACGGACCAGUUUCUAGACCUCCCAAGCAGUCUCCACUCCGCCCCGCCCCCCCAGCCCGUUUUCUCGGGGACUAACCUCUGGAGCCGAGGUCUCGGUGCCCAGCCCCCACCCAGGCUAGGGGUCGAGUCAGAGCUGCUGUUGCAGGCCUACACCCCAGCCACAGCAACACCAGAUCCUUAAGCCUCUGAGCAAGGCCAGGGAUCUGUCAGAUUCUUAAUCCGCUGAGCCACAAUGAGAACUCCUUUUAAAAAGUUUUAUCUCAAAUGUACACAUCCUUAAACAAUACACUGCAUAGUCUUACUUGCUUCUGAGCAUUCACGGCCCUUUCAGUGGAGUUAUUAAAUGGAUUUUCUGUCUCCAAAUGAGAGGGUGACAAUUCACAAAGGUGCCUGCUUUCUCUCAGAACUAUACCUCCAAUAUAACAUACUGACAUUGGGGAUUUCUGGAGGGGAGAGGGAAUCGUGGCACAAAAGUCCUUAUCAUAGAGUAAGUUUAAGCUAUGACCUCAAAAUAGGAGUAUUGAAUUAAAUUACAUUUAGUAGGUAAUUCAUAUACCCACCUUUGAUUUUUUUUAAUUGUUAUUCAUUGGCAAAUGCUUCCUUAUUGUUAAAUUUGUAAUUGCCCUCAUACACCAAUGAUGUCCAGGAAUCUCUCCACAUCUCCCUUCCAUUCAUAAUCCCCAUGACUCAUUAUUUCAGAGUGAGAGAAAGGCAACUCCUGAAUAACUGACUCCCGAACUUUCCCUAGAUGCCCACAAUUGUGACCACGGGUUCAGCGACUAUAUGUUUUGAAAGGAAAACCCAUAGGACAUUUCUCUCACAAGUACUAAUAGGACAAUAGCACAGAUCAUCUGAAAUGAGUUACUGCAAAAACUAGGAUGAUGGUUGCCCAGCUGGAGUGAGCACCCUUAUCUUUAGCUCUUGCUGAUUUACAAGGGAGCCACGAGCAUGAGAAGGACCAGCUGGUUAGUGAAUAACUAGCAGUAAUACCAGGGGGGAAGGCCAAGUGGUAUCUCACUAAAAUUUCUUUGUUUUAUUUCAGAGCUGGAAAUAACUUCUGGUGGAUUCCUGUAGUGGGCCCUUUGGUUGGAGGUGCUAUUGGAGGCCUUGUCUAUGUUCUUUUCAUUGAAAUUCACCACUCAUAUCCUAACCCACACUUUGAGGUCGAACAAUCGGAGGACAAACCAGAGAAAUAUGAACUUAAUGUGAUAAUGUAAUAGCAUGCUCAGUCCCAGGUUUAUACAAUUGGCUUCCUAUAGGGCUUGGCAUUUCACAAGGCACUUUCACACACAUUAUCUAAUUUAAUCUCCAUAGUACUAUCUGGGGUAAAUACCAUGCUGCUUAUCUUUCAGAUAAGGGAACAAAAUCUCAGCAAAGUUAAAUGAGUUGCCUAAGGUCACAUGGAAAGUUGGACAUUAUCAAAUACAUCCUACACCUUUCAGAAGAUCAAUAACUGGAUUAAAACUUUGGCCAGCCUCUCUUGGGUGGCCAGAAGUGGGAUUGGCAGCUGCCAGAAAGCAUACACCUGAGCAUCAUUCUUCUGGAUCCUCGGUUAUGAAGACAUUUACUGUCUGGUUUUAUCCCCACUGUUAUUGAAGCCCUAACAAAGGAAAGAGGUAGCCAUUGCAUCAUAUUUUUCAUGUGCUAAAGAACAUUAUCAAAAAGCCUCCCUUCUGAGGCCACCCUUAGUGUUGCUAAGCCUUGAUCUUCCUGCCAAUCGCAAACAUUAUACAUUUCAGGAAUUUCUUCUUGGUCAGGCCCCUCCCUGUCACUUUGGUCAAAAGAGUAUGAACCACAAGCACCAGAGAAACUGCUCUACAUCCAGUGAUGCACCUUCACUCAAACUGUUACAAAGCUCAGAAUCCCCAAAGCUUUCUUGUUUCUCAACUGCUCUGUGAUGAUAACAGAAACACAAAAGGCAAAUAUGAAAUGUCUUUAGAGGCCUAUGUUUUGGCAUAGACUGACAUAUGGAAUUUUUUUUCUUGCUUUGAAACUACUUGAUAUUUCUUAUUUGAAAUAAAUUUGGGAUGAGGGUGUUUUGGUGGGGUUUUGGGGUUGGGGUUGUUUUGGAGUUUUUAUAAGUAUUAGGACUCCUAAGUACACCUAGCUCAGAAGUUGUCUGUCCUGUCUAUAAAGUGAGAUUUGGGGGAGCUUUUAAAAAAAUACUAAUUCUUGGUUUAGUAAACAUCUCAGGUGAUUCUAAUGUGCAGAACACUGACUUGGUUAAAACACAUGGGUCUCCUUGAGAACCAUAUCUACUGGUGGCCAAGUAAUUCCUGGUACAAUUCUAGGUCUUGGGAUCCUCAGGGAUUAGAGAGCAGUGGUUUCUCAGUAGGGGCAGUUUGCUUUUUCCCACUUCCACUUACCCUACAAGAAGACACUUGGCAAUGUCUGGAGAUAUUUUUAGUUGUCACAAUUGGGGUGGGAGUGUUCCUGGAAUCUAGUGGGUAGAAGUCAGAGAUGGUGCUAAACAUCCCACCAUGCACAGAGCAGCCCUCCCCUGAGUAAAGGAAUAUUCAUCCCCAAAUGUAGACAGUGUGGAGGUUAAGAGGCCCUGGAUUCAAGGAAAGGCAGAGGAGUAAGACAAUGAAAUUCUGUGCCCUAAUCCAAGUUCUGUCCAAAAAAAAGAGAGGCCAGAUAAGUCCAGACCAGACCCAUGGAUGUGAAUUAUACUUAUGAGAGGAAGAGGUAACCCAAAAUUUGAGUUUUCAAGCUGGAUUGUGGAAUCUAUGAUCCAUGCAGGUGCUCAUUCUAUACUACCUGGUGAUUCAUGACUAGGAUUAUGAAGAAGAAAUGUGCACUGUGGAAAACAACCCCAGAAGAAUUUUUUUUUUUUAUGGAAAAAAAAAGUCUUCUUGUUCCAUGUGCUUACACUCAAAUCCUCCCUGUUUCCCAGCUUACAUGUGGGUUUACCUGGGACUUCAAGGGGUUUAAAUCAUCUGUAUCAGAAGUUAGUUAAAGCCAAAUACCUGUUGCUAAAAAUAGAUUCUUUAGGAGCUAGAACUUCAACAACUUCCCUCUUCCUUGUCAACCACAAAACUUAAUAGAAACAUUUACUUUAAUGUCAAAAGGUAGAAUUUCUCUAUGAUUCCUCAACCAAUUGAGAAUUCUGAGCAUGUCAAAGGUUGUAAGACCUUUCUAACCAUUAAGAGCCAGAGGUAACACUCAGCUGAUGAAUAAACUAAGUGGAAUAAAAAUAUCACAUUUAAAAAUCCGAUCCUUAAAAUAAAAAUACAGAUUUUUAUUUCCUUUAAACUGCUUACACACACACAUACACGCACCUUAUUUAAAGCUAUGUCAGUACUCAAAAAUGUCAUUAUGGAAAAAGAAUUUACAAUUUCCAGUUACAGAGAAUGGUUUACAAGUUUGAUUUAGCCACAGAACCUAUUGUUCAAAUAAAAUCUCAUGUGGUAUCCACGAGGAAACCAGAGCUGCUAUAAACAGAGACUGGGGAAGAAUAUUUGGGUUCCAUCCUGCCUAUGACAUCCUCUUACACCCUCCAAUACAGCCACUCGGGGUCUGUGAAGAGAAACUCUGUGAGUGGGUGGGGGUGAGAGGAUCUUCUGAACAUAGGUUGUAAACUAUUGAUAAAGGAUUUGGGACAAGUUGUUGAAUAUUUUUUAUAAA